Long non-coding RNA from Anopheles funestus (African malaria mosquito), 871 nucleotides. RefSeq lists it as uncharacterized. Lineage: Eukaryota; Metazoa; Arthropoda; Insecta; Diptera; Culicidae. The record is from RefSeq and is a predicted model, not a curated record. The transcript has 3 exons.
AAUGUAACUUGGCUAAUGUGUCUUGGCUAAUGUGUCUUGGCUAAUGUGUCUUGGCUAAUGUGUCUUGGCUAAUGUGUCUCGGCUAAUGUGUCUUGGCUAAGGUGUCUUGGCUAAGGUGUCUCGGCUAAGGUGUCUUGGGUAAUGUGUCUUGGCUAAGGUGUCUUGGCUAAAGUGUCUUGGCUAAGGUGUCUUGGCUAAUGUGUCUCGGCUAAUGUGUCUUGGCUAAUGUGUCUUGGCUAAGGCGUCGUGGCUAAUGUGUCUUGGCUAAUGUGUCUUGGCUAAGGUGUCUUGGCUAAUGUGUCUUGGCUAAUGUGUCUUGGCUAAUGUGUAUUGGCUAAGGUGUCUUGGCUAAGGUGUCUUGGCUAAUGUGUCUUGGCUAAUGUGUCUUGGCUAAGGUGUCUUGGCUAAUGUGUCUUUGCUAAGGUGUCUUGGCUAAUGUGUCUUGGCUAAUGUGUCUCGGCUAAUGUGUCUUGGCUAAUGUGUCUUGGCUAAGGUGUCUUGGCUAAUGUGUCUUGGCUAAUGUGUCUUGGCUAAGGUGUCUUGGCUAAGGUGUCUUGGCUAAUGUGUCUUGGCUAAUGUGUCUUGGCUAAUGUGUCUCGGCUAAUGUGUCUUGGCUAAGGUGUUUUGGCUAAGGUGUCUUGGCUAAUGUGUCUUGGCUAAGGUGUCUUGGCUUAUGUGUCUUGGCUAAGGUGUCUUGGCUAAUGUGUCUUGGCUAAGGUGUCUUGGCUAAUGUGUUGUCGGCUAAUGUGUCUUGGCUAAGGUAUCUUGGCUAAGGUGUCUUGGCUUAAGUGUCUUGGCUAAGUUGUCUUGGCUAAUGUGUCUUGGCUAAGGUGUCUUAGCUAAUGUGUCUUCGUUAAUGUGUCUUGGCUAA